RNAcentral lists this ribosomal RNA (254 nucleotides) under uncultured bacterium. RNAcentral describes it as "partial 16S ribosomal RNA". It matches the Rfam family "Bacterial small subunit ribosomal RNA", at positions 524 to 776 of the family's 1533-position model. The record is from RNAcentral.
UACGGGGGGUGCAAGCGUUGUUCGGAUUUACUGGGCGUAAAGGGCGCGUAGGCGGUCAGCACAAGUCAGUUGUGAAAUCUCCGGGCUUAACUCGGAAAGGUCAACUGAUACUGUGCGACUAGAGUGCAGAAGGGGCAACUGGAAUUCUCGGUGUAGCGGUGAAAUGCGUAGAUAUCUGGAGGAACACCGGUGGCGAAGGCGGCAUCCUGGACCGAGAUUGACGCUGAUGCGCGAAAGCCAGGGGAGCAAACGGG